CCUACGGGUGGCAGCAGUGGGGAAUAUUGGGCAAUGGGCGCAAGCCUGACCCAGCAACGCCGCGUGAAGGAAGAAGGUUUUCGGGUUGUAAACUUCUUUUGUUAGGGAAGAUUAUAAGACGGUACCUGACGAAUAAGCCACGGCUAACUACGUGCCAGCAGCCGCGGUAAUACGUAGGGGGCAAGUGUUGUCCGGAUUCACUGGGUGUAAAGGGCGUGUAGCCGGGUUGACAAGUCAGAUGUGAAAUCCUGCGGCUUAACCGCAGAACUGCAUUUGAAACUGUUGAUCUUGAGUACUGGAGAGGCAGACGGAAUUCCUGGUGUAGCGGUGAAAUGCGUAGAUAUUAGGAGGAACACCAGUGGCGAAGGCGGUCUGCUAGACAGCAACUGACGGUGAGGCGCGAAAGCGUGGGGAGCAAACAGGAUUAGAUACCCGGGUAGUC
Molecule: ribosomal RNA, 442 nt
Filed under: uncultured bacterium
Lineage: Bacteria
Description: partial 16S ribosomal RNA
Rfam family: Bacterial small subunit ribosomal RNA
Source: RNAcentral